This 96-nucleotide small RNA is filed under the name Flavobacterium xueshanense. RNAcentral's name for it is "Flavo-1 RNA". It matches the Rfam family "Flavo-1 RNA". The record is from RNAcentral. Lineage: Bacteria; Pseudomonadati; Bacteroidota; Flavobacteriia; Flavobacteriales; Flavobacteriaceae.
UUUUAGCCCCGAUUACAGUGGAAAUCCUUUUAGUAGGUGAUGAUGACGAAGGAAGAUUCAUCUACUAAAAGAUUGCAACGGAAAGCGGGAAAUAGC